GUGUAGCUUAAUCAAAGCAUUUCGCUUACACCGAGAAUAUGUUUAAUAAUAUCAGAUCACCUUGAA
This 66-nucleotide transfer RNA is filed under the name Microhyla annectens (brown narrow-mouthed frog). RNAcentral describes it as "partial tRNA-Val". The record is from RNAcentral. Lineage: Eukaryota; Metazoa; Chordata; Amphibia; Anura; Microhylidae.